GAGUUUGAUCAUGGCUCAGAUUGAACGCUGGCGGCAGGCCUAACACAUGCAAGUCGAGCGGUAGAGAGAAGCUUGCUUCUCUUGAGAGCGGCGGACGGGUGAGUAAUGCCUAGGAAUCUGCCUGGUAGUGGGGGAUAACGCUCGGAAACGGACGCUAAUACCGCAUACGUCCUACGGGAGAAAGCAGGGGACCUUCGGGCCUUGCGCUAUCAGAUGAGCCUAGGUCGGAUUAGCUAGUUGGUGAGGUAAUGGCUCACCAAGGCGACGAUCCGUAACUGGUCUGAGAGGAUGAUCAGUCACACUGGAACUGAGACACGGUCCAGACUCCUACGGGAGGCAGCAGUGGGGAAUAUUGGACAAUGGGCGAAAGCCUGAUCCAGCCAUGCCGCGUGUGUGAAGAAGGUCUUCGGAUUGUAAAGCACUUUAAGUUGGGAGGAAGGGCAGUAAAUUAAUACUUUGCUGUUUUGACGUUACCGACAGAAUAAGCACCGGCUAACUCUGUGCCAGCCG
RNAcentral lists this ribosomal RNA (510 nucleotides) under uncultured bacterium. RNAcentral's name for it is "bacterial SSU rRNA". It matches the Rfam family "Bacterial small subunit ribosomal RNA", at positions 9 to 514 of the family's 1533-position model. The record is from RNAcentral.